RNAcentral lists this ribosomal RNA (849 nucleotides) under Triticum aestivum (bread wheat). RNAcentral's name for it is "partial small subunit ribosomal RNA". The record is from RNAcentral. Lineage: Eukaryota; Viridiplantae; Streptophyta; Magnoliopsida; Poales; Poaceae.
AUGUUAGCAAUUGCCGCAUACUAUGAUUAUGAGAUAUGGCAGAUGGACGUCAAAACGGCAUUCCUUAAUGGUUAUCUUAAGGAAGAACUAUAUAUGAUGCAGCCGGAAGGUUUUGUCGAUCCUAAGAAUGCUAACAAAGUAUGCAAGCUCCAGCGAUCCAUUUAUGGGCUGGUGCAAGCAUGUCGGAGUUGGAACAUUCACUUUGAUGAGAUGAUCAAAGCGUUUGGGUUUAUGCAGACUUAUGGAGAAGCCUGCGUUUACAAGAAAGUGAGUGGGAGCUCUGUAGCAUUUCUCAUAUUAUAUGUAGAUGACAUAAUUUUGAUGGGAAAUGAUAUAGAAUUCUUGGACAGCAUUAAGGCCUACUUGAAUAAGUGUUUUUCAAUGAAGGACCUUGGAGAAGCUGCUUACAUAUUAGGCAUCAAGAUCUAUAGGGAUAGAUCGAGACGCCUCAUAGGUCUUUCACAAAGCACAUACCUUGAUAAGAUUUUGAAGAAGUUCAAAAUGGAUCAGUCCAAGAAAGGGUUCUUGCCUGUAUUGCAAGGUGUGAGAUUAAGCUCAGCUCAAUGCCCGACCACGGCAAAAGAUAAAGAAGAGAUGAGUGUCAUCCCCUAUGCCUCAGCCGUAGGAUCUAUUAUGUAUGCCAUGUUGUGUACCAGACCUGAUGUAAACCUUGUCGUAAGUUUGGUAGGAAGGUACCAAAGUAAUCUCGGCAAGGAACACUGGACAGCGGUCAAGAAUAUCCUAAAGUACCUGAAAAGUACAAAGGACAUGUUUCUCGUUUAUGGAGGUGAUGAAGAGAUCGUCGUAAAGGGUUACGUCGACGCUAGCUUCAACACAGAUCUGGAUGAC